AACAACUCAUUUAAAUUAAUCUCAAUUGUUUCAUAAAACCAAAUAUGUUGAACUAUUGUGUGAUUAAGCUUCUGUAU
Long non-coding RNA from Diprion similis, 77 nucleotides. RefSeq lists it as uncharacterized. The transcript is spliced from 3 exons. Lineage: Eukaryota; Metazoa; Arthropoda; Insecta; Hymenoptera; Diprionidae. The record is from RefSeq and is a predicted model, not a curated record.